RNAcentral lists this ribosomal RNA (554 nucleotides) under uncultured bacterium. RNAcentral's name for it is "bacterial SSU rRNA". It matches the Rfam family "Bacterial small subunit ribosomal RNA", at positions 337 to 903 of the family's 1533-position model. The record is from RNAcentral.
UCCUACGGGAGGCAGCAGUGGGGAAUUUUCCGCAAUGGGCGAAAGCCUGACGGAGCAAUCUCGCGUGAGGGAUGACGGCCUAUGGGUUGUAAACCUCUUUUUUCAGGGAGGAAUCAAAUGACGUGUACCUGAAGAAUAAGCAUCGGCUAACUCCGUGCCAGCAGCCGCGGUAAGACGGAGGAUGCAAGUGUUAUCCGGAAUCACUGGGCGUAAAGCGUCUGUAGGUGGUUGAACAAGUCAACUGUUAAAUCUUGAGGCUCAACUUCAAAAUCGCAGUCGAAACUGUUUGACUAGAGUAUAGUAGGGGUAAAGGGAAUUUCCAGUGGAGCGGUGAAAUGCGUAGAUAUUGGAAAGAACAUCGAUGGCGAAGGCACUUUACUGGGCUAUUACUGACACUCAGAGACGAAAGCUAGGGUAGCAAAUGGGAUUAGAUACCCCAGUAGUCCUAGCCGUAAACAAUGGAUACUAGAUGUUGAACAGAUCGACCUGUGCAGUAUCAAAGCUAACGCGUUAAGUAUCCCGCCUGGGAAGUAUGCUCGCAAGGGUGAAACUCA